Meleagris gallopavo (turkey) is the source of this 1145-nucleotide non-coding RNA. The record is from RefSeq and is a predicted model, not a curated record. Lineage: Eukaryota; Metazoa; Chordata; Aves; Galliformes; Phasianidae.
CUUGCAGCUCACCAGUGUAACUGCACCUGGUAAAUACCUUUCUCUAUGUACAAUACAGAGAUAAUGGAUAUACGAGCUCCACUGAAUCAUCAGCAGGCGACCGAUGACCCCGGGCUUAAGCAACUCUGACGUGAGGCUCCUCUUCUGUCUCCUGCCCCAGGCUGGUGUAUGUUACUGAAGGCUCCAGCUGGCCAGUGGUUGGCAGGUCUACAACAGGUCCUGAAGGGUUUCGAAACUGCUUGUACACCCGAGGAUCUUGGGCUACGUAAGUGGAUGUGGAGGAAUAAAGCACUAGCCCAACGAGGAUGGUGAAGAACGAUAACAAGUAAAGUCCUGAAAACUGAGCAAAAAGAAGAGUACAGCCAUUAGACACAGCACUGCUUGUUCCGAGCUCAUGAAGACACAUGGACAGAGGAAAGCCAUCAGGUCUUCACUUGUCACCUGGUAGUAUGAUUUGAUGGGAGUCAUACCCCUGUAUCAUCAAGAAUGAACUCAAUUAUAAACAUCACAUUCACCGUGAAGUUCAAUGAAGAUCUCUGUGACCCGGUGCAGAAGUUGCCCUGUGGGAUGCACACACUCUCCAGUCAGCAGGAGUACUAGGUAGGGUGAAUGCUCGAGCUAUGUUUCUGUUUGCAUAACUGGAUGUUAUAGAUACAUUAUUUUAUUAAUAGGGAAGCUAGACUAGGUUGGUUGUAGGCUGGGACUAGAACUCAAACUGUUCCUGACUAUUUUGUUCUAGCCUGGGAGGGAGAUGUUUCUGUUCACUCCUAAUGUGAAGGAAGGGUUGCUCUGUUUGGGAUUCCAUAUUUGUCCAGUUCUUUAUCAGGACAAUGAUCUAUUGCUUCAGCCUCAAUUACUGUUCUCUGUCUUUAGAUGUUAGAGAUAAAGACCAAAUCUCUAACUGGUUACUGAUCCCAUGUGAAAGCUAUUGGCAGAAUAACAACCUAGACUUUCGUAGGAGAAAAUUAUUUACUAUGAGGGUGGUGAGGCACUGGAAUGGUCUGCUCAAAGAAGUUCCUAUGUCCCAUCCCUGAAGGUGUUCAAGGCCAAGCUGGAUGAGACACUGGACAGUCUGAUCUAAAGGGUGGUAACCCUGCCCAUGGGAGGGGGUUUGGAACCGACCGGGCUUUAGAGUCCCCUCCAAC